GCAGGAGUGCAGUCAUAGACAGUACUCGUGUGACUGAUUUGUGUCGUAGUGUGAUCUGCGGUGGUCCCUUUGCUCAGGUAGGAUUGCAUUACCUGGACUUCCUCAACCCUAGUCACAUGCUCCACUCAUUGUCGGUGUUUGCAUCGGGCUGCAGGUGUGGAAUUAGAACGGUCAGACAAGACAAUCCAGCUGUUUGGGUGUUCUGCUCGGGCUUUACGUUGACUCCUUGUUUAAAUUUUGCACAUGCAUUUAUAUGUUGGGACUAAAUUUGGCCAAAAUCUCCUUUUUAUGAGGGGGGAAUACAAAGAUUUAUUAAAUUAAAUUUGGUCCAAAGUGAAGCCUUUACCCAUUUGGAUUCUUGUUCUUCAGUUUGUCGGGUGUGUCGUUCUAAUUCUGUGCUGAAAACUUGUAAGCUAAAACGAACAAUGUCAUUGCAUCAUACCACAUACUUAGUUUAAUUGGCAACACAUGGUUUUUUUUGGAGCUGUUGCCAUUUUUUUUUUAAAUGGUAUGAAUGUCAAGCAGCCUGACCUCAGGUAAACUUGCUUUUGCACUUUAAUUACAGCAGCCUGUGAGGCCUGUCAGCGAAACUGUUGUAGCCAUUGUCUUUGUAGCAGAUGAAUGACAUGGUAAACAGAUAAGAAAGACUUAACAAGUCUGGAAAAGAGGACAGCACGGGCUUAUAUAUAAAUAUGUAUGUGGGAGGUGGGCGGGGGUGUUUAAGGGAGGGUUUGUGAGCUGUCAGCCCCCUCGUCAGUUUGCGACGAGGGGCGAGGCCCUUCUCACAGCUCCUUGUGUCUAGCCUUUCUCCCAUAGGAAUGACAGCCGAGGCUGUGGCUGCCGUGCGUCACCCUGCCCUGGGGAGGCAAUGGAGGGACACACCUCACACACAGUCGGCUCUGAGGGCCCUCGCGUAGUCUGCCCACUGCUCAGGCUAAUCGGGAUGAGCAGCAGGGGGCUAUAGCCACUGCCCGGAGGUGUUCAGUUGUGUCCCGCUAGGACCUACACGCCGGCUGGUAACCCACCUCAUAGUGUCUUUCUCUGUAGUCCAGCACCACCUCAAAAACUAAUGUUCCACAUGUUAGGGCGAAGACAUCAGUAGCCGAGGCCAAAAGCAUCAUUCAGAUACAUUAAGUAAAUGCACUGUUUUUCCAAAAUUCUACUUUUUCUUUUUUUUUUUUAUUAACGUCUCUGUAACAAACCGGGCUUGUGAAAGUAAGGGUUUGUAUUUUGAGACCGCUUCGUCGCUAAAUGCCUCUUUUGUUCAUUGUCAGUGCGGACACCUCGCAUUUUCAGUGGCCGACAAACGCACUGAGACAGCAACACAUUCUUUGACCUUCCCCCCCCCCCGCCGCCGCCGUGCUCCAACAUCAGAUUUGCAAAAAUUCCAAGCAGCUGUAAUCCUCCGGCAGUCAACUCAAAUUUAGGUGCCGAGGAGGCGUUUACAACUAUACUCAUUACCGUAAAGGUUUAGUGUGUAUCCAAGAGCUCCUCAGUCAUUAUCGUCAUCAGGUGCAUUGUUUUCUUUAAGUCACCAAACUUCUAAGAGAGCAUGUCAGAUAGUGUGUUGCUGUACAUUUGCUUUGGCACUGUACUUUGCCAAGUGUCUCUUUGUAUUUCCUGUCUUUGUCUACUUUUUUUUUUAACAUGUCUUCAAAACAUACCUCUGACUUUACUCCGUGCAUGCAUCCAUCCAGAACAAACAUUCCCCGAAAAGCCAGCUCGACUCCACUCAUGUGUGUGUGUGUGUGUGUUCAGUGUGUUGCAUGUUGCUUUGCAUAAUUUUCAUCCCACUUAAUGUUACCCAGCUGCCUUUCUGUGGUUUCCUUUAAAAAGGGCCGAUAACUCGACCUCUAUAGCUGUUGAGGUACCCGCCAUGAAGACCUGUCUGUUCUCUUUUGCAUCACUUGUAGUUCUUCUCUAAUUUUACUU
Long non-coding RNA from Stegastes partitus (bicolor damselfish), 1932 nucleotides. RefSeq lists it as uncharacterized. The record is from RefSeq and is a predicted model, not a curated record. The transcript is spliced from 2 exons. Lineage: Eukaryota; Metazoa; Chordata; Actinopteri; Pomacentridae.